UGGGGAAUAUUGGGCAAUGGGCGAAAGCCUGACCCAGCAACGCCGCGUGAGUGAUGAAGGCCUUCGGGUUGUAAAACUCUUUGGACAGGGACGUAGAAAGUGACGGUACCUGUAGAACAAGCCACGGCUAACUACGUGCCAGCAGCCGCGGUAAUACGUAGGUGGCGAGCGUUAUCCGGAUUUACUGGGCGUAAAGGGCGUGUAGGCGGCUAGAUAAGUGUGAUGUUUAAAUCCAAGGCUUAACCUUGGGGUUCAUUACAAACUGUUUAGCUUGAGUGCUGGAGAGGAUAGUGGAAUUCCUAGUGUAGCGGUAAAAUGCGUAGAUAUUAGGAGGAACACCGGUGGCGAAGGCGGCUAUCUGGACAGUAACUGACGCUGAGGCGCGAAAGCGUGGGGAGCAAACAGG
This 406-nucleotide ribosomal RNA is filed under the name Verrucomicrobiota bacterium. RNAcentral describes it as "Verrucomicrobia bacterium partial 16S ribosomal RNA". It matches the Rfam family "Bacterial small subunit ribosomal RNA", at positions 355 to 776 of the family's 1533-position model. The record is from RNAcentral. Lineage: Bacteria; Pseudomonadati; Verrucomicrobiota.